Molecule: long non-coding RNA, 235 nt
Filed under: Vigna radiata
Lineage: Eukaryota; Viridiplantae; Streptophyta; Magnoliopsida; Fabales; Fabaceae
Description: long non-coding RNA (VRAD_LNC004703)
Source: RNAcentral
UGGUGUUGAUGUUGAGGGUGAGGGGAAUGAAGGAGGUGUCCAAGAAGCACCUGUUGAUGAAACAGUUGCAGACGAAGCAACUGCUGAUGAAGGAGUUGUUUAUGAAGCAGCUUUUGAUGAAACAACUGGAGAUGAAGAUGGUGCACAUGAAGAAGCUGCAGCUGCAACACCUGUUGAUGAAGCAGCUGCAGAUGAGCAACCUGUUCAUCAAGGAGUUGUAGACGAACAAGCUGUU